AGAGUUUGAUCAUGGCUCAGAACUAACGCUGGUGGCGUGUCUUAGUCAUGCAAGUCGAACGCGAAAGGGGGGGCAACUCCCCAAGUAGAGUGGCGAACGGGUGAGUAACACGUGGGCAACCUGCCUCCGGGUUGGGGAUAACACUCCCAAAGGGGUGCUAAUACCGAAUAAUGCAGCGGCUCCGCAUGGAGACAGUUGUUAAAGGUGGCCUCUGCUUGCAAGCUACCUCCUGGAGAUGGGCCCGCGUCCGAUUAGCUAGUUGGUGAGGUAACGGCUCACCAAGGCGACGAUCGGUAGCCGGCCUGAGAGGGUGAUCGGCCACACUGGGACUGAGAUAAGGCCCAGUCCCCUACGGGGGCCAGCAGUCUAGAAAUUUGGUCAAUGGGCGAAAGCCUGAACCAGCGACGCCACGUGGGCGAUGAAGCCCUUAGGGGUGUAAAGCCCUGUCAGGAGGAACGAAUAGCGGAGGCGCGAAUAGCUCCUCCGAUGACGGUACCUCCAGAGAAG
Molecule: ribosomal RNA, 507 nt
Filed under: uncultured Hydrogenivirga sp.
Lineage: Bacteria; Pseudomonadati; Aquificota; Aquificia; Aquificales; Aquificaceae
Description: bacterial SSU rRNA
Rfam family: Bacterial small subunit ribosomal RNA
Source: RNAcentral